RNAcentral lists this unclassified non-coding RNA (420 nucleotides) under plant metagenome. RNAcentral describes it as "partial contains 5.8S ribosomal RNA, internal transcribed spacer 2, and large subunit ribosomal RNA". The record is from RNAcentral.
CUCAAUCGCGCGGCGUUGAUCAUCCGAGAGCUGAAUGACUGCGCUGCGCACGAUAUUGCGGGUCUCCUGCGCAGCGGCUUCGUCGGAGGAGUCGUUCUCAACCACGCGGUCCCAAAUCCUCGCGUCCUGCUCCACCUCUUCAUGGAGACGGCGGCGACGCUGCACUCGGCGGAGGCGGUCGAUCGCCUUAUUGCGCGUCAGCGUCAUCGCCCAGGUGAGCGGCUUGCCGCGGCGAACGUCGUAGAUCGACGCCUUUUCCCAAAUCUGGACGAACGCCUCCUGCACCACCUCCUCGGCGUCCUUGGCGUUGUUCAGGACGCGGAAGGCGGUGGCGAGCAGGAUGCCGGAAUAGCGGCGGUGAAGUUCGGCCAACGACCAGUGAUCGCCGGCAGCGGUGCGGCGGAAGAGUUCGGAGUCAUC